Molecule: transfer RNA, 72 nt
Filed under: Rhodococcus phage NiceHouse
Lineage: Duplodnaviria; Heunggongvirae; Uroviricota; Caudoviricetes
Description: tRNA-Ala
Rfam family: tRNA
About the family: Transfer RNA (tRNA) molecules are approximately 80 nucleotides in length. Their secondary structure includes four short double-helical elements and three loops (D, anti-codon, and T loops).
Source: RNAcentral
GGGGCUAUAGUACAACGGUAGUAUGUUUGACUUGCACUCAAAUGAUCGGGGUUCGAUUCCCCGUAGCUCCAC